GGGCCCGCACAAGCGGUGGAGCAUGUGGUUUAAUUCGAUGAUACGCGAGGAACCUUACCAGGGCUUAAAUGUAGUGGGACAGGUCUAGAGAUAGACCCUUCUUCGGACUCAUUACAAGGUGCUGCAUGGUUGUCGUCAGCUCGUGCCGUGAGGUGUCAGGUUAAGUCCUAUAACGAGCGCAACCCCUAUCGUUAGUUGCCAGCGGGUAAUGCCGGGAACUCUAGCGAAACUGCCGGUGCAAACCGUGAGGAAGGUGGGGAUGACGUCAAAUCAUCACGGCCCUUACGUCCUGGCUACACACGUGCUACAAUGGCUAGGACAGACGGCCGCAAACCCGCGAGGGGGAGCCAA
Molecule: ribosomal RNA, 351 nt
Filed under: uncultured bacterium
Lineage: Bacteria
Description: bacterial SSU rRNA
Rfam family: Bacterial small subunit ribosomal RNA
Source: RNAcentral